RNAcentral lists this non-coding RNA (53 nucleotides) under Ixodes scapularis (black-legged tick). RNAcentral's name for it is "Guanidine-II sequence". It matches the Rfam family "Guanidine-II riboswitch aptamer (mini-ykkC)". Rfam says of the family: Simpler in structure and has fewer highly conserved nucleotide positions than the ykkC-yxkD leader. Lineage: Eukaryota; Metazoa; Arthropoda; Arachnida; Ixodida; Ixodidae. The record is from RNAcentral.
CCUCGGGGACGACCUCGAGGACGACCUCGAGGACGACCUCGAGGACGACCUCG